Molecule: long non-coding RNA, 1919 nt
Organism: Equus caballus (horse)
Lineage: Eukaryota; Metazoa; Chordata; Mammalia; Perissodactyla; Equidae
Source: Ensembl
UUUCCUGACGGGGAGCUUUGCAUGCUGGGACUUGUGGUUUCCGAGGGUUCGUGCACAGGGGCUGCCGGGACCCGUCGCCGCGGUUUAGGAGGCUGUGGGCGGUCUGAUGGAGGGCGGGGUCUUGGUGGCGGGGAGCUUCUUUGGGGCUGAGGCGAAAUGGGAACCUCAAGUAGGACAAGGCUACAGGCAACUGGGAAGAUGGAGUCUCGGUGUAAUUCUGCUUUCGAGCUGUCGUGGCAGCGCGGUAGCCCCUUCGCACCCAGGGGAACGGUGUGUCCCUUAGAAGUUGCAUGGAGUGGAAGUUAAUUCGGCGCUAGCAGGGCCGCGUUUCCUGCCUGGCGACUAAGGCCAUGCCCCACAGAGGCAGACACACUCGCCUGCCUGCAGAGGAUUGAGGCACCCAGUAUAUGCAAAGUAGCCUGAGGACUUGCUGUUGGAUGGGGCCAGUCCCUAGGGCGGGCUACCUGCCCUGGCUGAGCUGGAUUAAAUCUGGGAUCUAGUGGAUGUGGCAGACCCCUGGGCCUGUACACGCCAGGGGAAGAACUCCAAUGGCAUCUGCCAGCUUCUGUGUCAGUGUGCCUGUACUACAUCAGAAUAAUGGCUGCUGCUGAUGUCUCAGUCUCCAGAGAGAUCUCACCUCUCACCAAGAUGCACCCAGAGCAUAUCAGGGAGUUGACCUUACACGAUUGGAUUGCUGGUUAAGCGGACUCUGUAAGGCUGACACUGGAGCUGGAAGUCCAGAGGACAGGCAGACAGGAAAGGAAGAUGGAUGUAAAGUGGGGGAGAGCAAGAUCAAGUUGGAGCUCCCAAGGACAGACUGAAACCCCUGUCAGUUCCCCUUCCUCAGAUCUUGAGGGUAUGAGUGUCCUGAAAAUCCACGCCCCUUGAGAUGGAGCUAAUCACGCCGGCCUGACCCAGGAGUUGGAAAGAUGGAGGAGGAUCCUGGGGCGGGUAGGGCAGCUGGAAGCCCGGAUGCUGCCUCACAGCAAUGAGCUCACCCAGCAGAUAAGCAACGGUAUGCACAAACUACAAAAACUUCCUCCAGAUCUCGCUUCAGACUCUCUCCUGUGGUCCUCCCCAACAGGAAACACACAGGAAGGGGACUUCUGGGAAAGGUAAUUUGGCCUUGCCACCACAUGUGAUAUUUCAAUUUAAACAAAAUUUUAAUCAAGAGGACAUGGUGAUAAAGAUAGCUGAAAAUCACCUGGAAAAAGCAGCAUCCAUACUUGGUGGAUUGAGAUCUAGUUUGUUGUGGGGUCCACGGCCCAGAAGAGUUUCGUAAACUUUGCUUAGUGGAGACUAUGUCCGGCCAGGCCUCAGCAGAAAACAAAUCCCUUUCAGGUGGGAUUUUGACAAGAAUCUAUGACAUCUACAUCGAUGAGGGCAGGGUGAAGAGAACCAAGGAGGAGAACUAAGGCAACCACAUCAAGUACCCCAGGAAGCCUUUCCUCCCCGACAACUCUGAGCAGGCUGGAGCUCAUGGGAGCCGCGAUGGUUAGGGACGCGGCUAAUGCCACAACCUCGGCGUCACCUGGAAGGAGUAGAGGAAAAGCACCCGAGCCAGCCUCAUCCUGCCUUCGGGGCUCCUACCGAAGCCUCCCUCGGCUCAGAGCAGCAGACAGAAUGGCUGAAAACGGGUCUGGGGCACACACGACGGAGAGCUGGCACAGGGGAUGAUAGCCAGUUCAGCCAAACUUCCUAACAUUUUGCCAAAGAACUUGAAAUAGUUAUGAUGAUAAAUAAUCUGGUGUAUGGUUUACAUUUUCUGUGAAACUUGCUCUUUUCCACUGGUGUUGAAACAUAUUCCUCAUCAUCUUGACAAAUGCCAUUAAUUUUCAUUUUUCUUCGAAUGGAACAUUGCCCUAUAAGUUAUUUUCAUAGCAAAGAGUGACUCAGCUCUCAAUAAAAGUGAUUUAUGG